This 929-nucleotide ribosomal RNA is filed under the name Psychroflexus salinarum. Its description in RNAcentral is "bacterial SSU rRNA". It matches the Rfam family "Bacterial small subunit ribosomal RNA", at positions 72 to 998 of the family's 1533-position model. The record is from RNAcentral. Lineage: Bacteria; Pseudomonadati; Bacteroidota; Flavobacteriia; Flavobacteriales; Flavobacteriaceae.
CAGGGUGCUUGCACCGCUGACGACCGGCGCACGGGUGCGUAACGCGUAUACAAUCUACCUUAUAGAGGAGAAUAGCCCAGAGAAAUUUGGAUUAAUGCUCCAUGGUAUUAUUGAGUAGCAUUACUUAAUAAUUAAACAUUUAUGGCUAUAAGAUGAGUAUGCGUUCUAUUAGCUUGAUGGUAAGGUAACGGCUUACCAUGGCUACGAUAGAUAGGGGUCCUGAGAGGGAGAUCCCCCACACUGGUACUGAGACACGGACCAGACUCCUACGGGAGGCAGCAGUGAGGAAUAUUGGACAAUGGGAGCAAUCCUGAUCCAGCCAUGCCGCGUGCAGGAAGACUGCCCUAUGGGUUGUAAACUGCUUUUAUACAGGAAGAAAAAGGUGUACGUGUACACUGUUGACGGUACUGUAAGAAUAAGGAUCGGCUAACUCCGUGCCAGCAGCCGCGGUAAUACGGAGGAUCCAAGCGUUAUCCGGAAUCAUUGGGUUUAAAGGGUCCGUAGGCGGGACAAUAAGUCAGUGGUGAAAGUCUGCAGCUCAACUGUAGAAUUGCCAUUGAUACUGUUGUUCUUGAGUGCUUGUGAAGUGGUUAGAAUGAGUAGUGUAGCGGUGAAAUGCAUAGAUAUUACUCAGAAUACCGAUUGCGAAGGCAGAUCACUAACAAUUCACUGACGCUGAUGGACGAAAGCGUAGGUAGCGAACAGGAUUAGAUACCCUGGUAGUCUACGCCGUAAACGAUGGUUACUAGCUGUUCGGACUAAUUGAGGUCUGAGUGGCUAAGCGAAAGUGAUAAGUAACCCACCUGGGGAGUACGUUCGCAAGAAUGAAACUCAAAGGAAUUGACGGGGGCCCGCACAAGCGGUGGAGCAUGUGGUUUAAUUCGAUGAUACGCGAGGAACCUUACCAGGGCUUAAAUGCAGUUUGACAG